AACAUGUCCUUUUGUUUAAUUUAUUUAAGGUUUGCCCUGCCCAAUGAUUUAUUUAAUGGCCGCAGUAUAUUAACUGUGCUAAGGUAGCAUAAUCAAUUGUCUUUUAAUUGGAGGCUGGAAUGAAGGGGUGACUGAGGAAUUAUCUUUCUUUUUAUUAAAACUUGAAUUUAAUUUGUUAGUUAAAAAGCUAACAUUUUAUUAAGGGACGAGAAGACCCUAUAGAUCUUAAUAUUUAAUUCAUUAUUUUAUUAUGGGUUAUAAUUAUAAAAUAAAGCAUUAUGUAUUUAAUUGGGGUGAUUUUAGAAUUUUUUGAACUACUAUUUUAAUUAUCAUUAAUUAUUGUUUUAUUGAUCCAAUAUUAUUGAUUAUAAGAUUAAGUUACCUUAGGGAUAACAGCGUUAUUUCUUCGGAGAGUUCAUAUUGAUGAAGAAGUUUGCGACCUCGAUGUUGGAUUAAAAUAAAUAAUGGGUGCAGUAAUUCAUUGAUUAGGUCUGUUCGACCUUUAAAUUUUUACAUGAUCU
RNAcentral lists this ribosomal RNA (521 nucleotides) under Pothea sp. MF-2017. RNAcentral's name for it is "partial 16S ribosomal RNA". It matches the Rfam family "Bacterial large subunit ribosomal RNA", at positions 1812 to 2606 of the family's 2925-position model. Lineage: Eukaryota; Metazoa; Arthropoda; Insecta; Hemiptera; Reduviidae. The record is from RNAcentral.